This 71-nucleotide transfer RNA is filed under the name Loxodonta africana (African savanna elephant). It matches the Rfam family "tRNA". From Rfam's summary of the family: Transfer RNA (tRNA) molecules are approximately 80 nucleotides in length. Lineage: Eukaryota; Metazoa; Chordata; Mammalia; Proboscidea; Elephantidae. The record is from Rfam by way of RNAcentral.
UCAUUGGUAGCCCAGUGGUAGAAUUCCUGACUUCUAUGCUGGAGACCUGGGUUCAAUUACCAGCCAAUGUA